RNAcentral lists this ribosomal RNA (207 nucleotides) under uncultured bacterium. RNAcentral describes it as "partial 16S ribosomal RNA". It matches the Rfam family "Bacterial small subunit ribosomal RNA", at positions 524 to 729 of the family's 1533-position model. The record is from RNAcentral.
GACAGAGGGUGCAAACGUUGUUCGGAAUUACUGGGCGUAAAGCGCGUGUAGGCGGCUAAGUAAGUCGGGCGUGAAAUCCCACGGCUCAACCGUGGAAGUGCACUCGAAAACUGCAUAGCUAGAGUCCUGGAGAGGAAGGUGGAAUGCUUGGUGUAGAGGUGAAAUUCGUAGAUAUCAAGCGGAACACCGGUGGCGAAGGCGGCCUUC